This 58-nucleotide transfer RNA is filed under the name Fragariocoptes setiger. RNAcentral's name for it is "tRNA-Asn". Lineage: Eukaryota; Metazoa; Arthropoda; Arachnida; Trombidiformes; Phytoptidae. The record is from RNAcentral.
UUGAGGUUAGCUUAUUAAUAAAGCUUAGUUAUUGUUACUGACUAGAAUUUAACUCAAG